Molecule: transfer RNA, 67 nt
Filed under: Kaylathalia klovstadi
Lineage: Eukaryota; Metazoa; Arthropoda; Collembola; Entomobryomorpha; Isotomidae
Description: tRNA-Trp
Rfam family: tRNA
About the family: Transfer RNA (tRNA) molecules are approximately 80 nucleotides in length. Their secondary structure includes four short double-helical elements and three loops (D, anti-codon, and T loops). Further hydrogen bonds mediate the characteristic L-shaped molecular structure. tRNAs have two regions of fundamental functional importance: the anti-codon, which is responsible for specific mRNA codon recognition, and the 3' end, to which the tRNAs corresponding amino acid is attached (by aminoacyl-tRNA synthetases). tRNAs cope with the degeneracy of the genetic code in two manners: having more than one tRNA (with a specific anti-codon) for a particular amino acid; and 'wobble' base-pairing, i.e. permitting non-standard base-pairing at the 3rd anti-codon position.
Source: RNAcentral
AGAAUUUUAAGUUAGUAAACUAAAAGCCUUCAAAGCUUUAAUCAGGGGUUUAAUCCUUUAAAUUCUA